This 435-nucleotide ribosomal RNA is filed under the name uncultured bacterium. Its description in RNAcentral is "bacterial SSU rRNA". It matches the Rfam family "Bacterial small subunit ribosomal RNA", at positions 29 to 507 of the family's 1533-position model. The record is from RNAcentral.
AACGAACGCUGGCGGCAGGCCUAACACAUGCAAGUCGAGCGAGGUAGCAAUACCUAGCGGCGGACGGGUGAGUAACGCGUGGGAACGUACCCUUUGGUUCGGAAUAGCCCCGGGAAACUGGGAGUAAUACCGGAUACGGUCGAGAGACGAAAGAUUUAUCGCCGAAGGAUCGGCCCGCGUUGGAUUAGGUAAUUGGUGGGGUAAUGGCCUACCAAGCCGACGAUCCAUAGCUGGUUUGAGAGGAUGAUCAGCCACACUGGGACUGAGACACGGCCCAGACUCCUACGGGAGGCAGCAGUGGGGAAUCUUAGACAAUGGGCGCAAGCCUGAUCUAGCCAUGCCGCGUGAGCGAUGAAGGCCUUAGGGGUUGUAAAAGCUCUUUCAGUGGGGAAGAUAAUGACUGUACCCACAGAAGAAGCCCCGGCUAACUCCGUG